UUGUCUGAGAAAGAGGUUUUUGAACGCUACUUCCCACAUUGACGAAGAGUUUUUAAUGGAGGAGAACAUGGUAUCAGGGUGAGGAGGACCCUUGCUAGCUGCCCCCUGUGUUGUGUCUAGUGCUUGUCUUGUCCUGAAUGCCUGAAGCUUGACUGAGAAAGAGGUUUUUGAACGCUACUUCCCACAUUGAUGAAGAGUUUUUAAUAGAGGAGAACAUGGUAUCAGGGUGAGGAGGACCCUUGCUAGCUGCCCCCUGUGUUGUGUCUAGUGCUUGUCUUGUCCUGAAUGCCUGAAGCUUGUCUGAGAAAGAGGUUUUUGAACGCUACUUCCCACAUUGACGAAGAGUUUUUAAUAGAGGAGAACAUGGUAUCAGGGUGAGGAGGACCCUUGCUAGCUGCCCCCUGUGUUGUGUCUAGUGCUUGUCUUGUCCUGAAUGUCUGAAGCUUGACUGAGAAAGAGGUUUUUGAACGCUACUUCCCACAUUGACGAAGAGUUUUUAAUAGAGGAGAACAUGGUAUCAGGGUGAGGAGGACCCUUGCUAGCUGCCCCCUGUGUUGUGUCUAGUGCUUGUCUUGUCCUGAAUGCUUGAAGCUUGUCUGAGAAAGAGGUUUUUGAACGCUACUUCUCACAUUGAUGAGUUUUUAAUAGAGGAGAAUGUGGUAUCAGGGUGAGGAGGACCCUUGCUAGCUGCCCCCUGUGUUGUGUCUAGUGCUUGUCUUGUCCUGAAUGCUUGAAGCUUGUCUGAGAAAGAGGUUUUUGAACGCUACUUCUCACAUUGAUGAGUUUUUAAUAGAGGAGAAUGUGGUAUCAGGGUGAGGAGGACCCUUGCUAGCUGCCCCCUGUGUUGUGUCUAGUGCUUGUCUUGUCCUGAAUGCCUGAAGCUUGACUGAGAAAGAGGUUUUUGAACGCUACUUCUCACAUUGAUAAAGAGUUUUUAAUAGAGGAGAACGUGGUAUCAGGGUGAGGAGGACCCUUGCUAGCUGCCCCCUGUGUUGUGUCUAGUGCUUGUCUUGUCCUGAAUGUCUGAAGCUUGUCUGAGAAAGAGGUUUUUGAACGGUACUUCUCACAUUGAUGAGUUUUUAAUAGAGGAGAACGUGGUAUCAGGGUGAGAAGGACCCUUGCUAGCUGCCCCCUGUGUUGUGUCUAGUGCUUGUCUUGUCCUGAAUGUCUGAAGCUUGACUGAGAAAGAGCUUUUUGAACGCUAC
Molecule: long non-coding RNA, 1205 nt
Organism: Eriocheir sinensis (Chinese mitten crab)
Lineage: Eukaryota; Metazoa; Arthropoda; Malacostraca; Decapoda; Varunidae
Exons: 3
Source: RefSeq, a predicted model, not a curated record